Long non-coding RNA from Leopardus geoffroyi (Geoffroy's cat), 931 nucleotides. RefSeq lists it as uncharacterized. NCBI's taxonomy places the organism in Eukaryota, Metazoa, Chordata, Mammalia, Carnivora, Felidae. The transcript is spliced from 3 exons. The record is from RefSeq and is a predicted model, not a curated record.
GGGGAAAUGAACAUCAUUAGUAAUAGACAUUUAAAAAUGUGCCUGUGAGUGUUCCAUCUUAAGCUGGCUUUUUUUUUCCCCCUGUAUGUUUAAUGACAGGUCUACGGAAAGAUCAGGCUACAGGAUACAAGCAGGAAAAAAAGGUGACAUCCACAUGUCAGUGUUAGUAUACCUCCUGCAUUAAGAAAUUUCAAUUGCACCUGUAAGGUUGUCCUUCUUUAUCCUCCAGUACCUCGCCCCAGGAACUACCCCAUGACUCCUCUGCUUCACAUCAGGAAUAUAUACAAAGGCUACACAGUAAACUAUGAGUAAGAAAUAACCACCAAGGCUCAAAAGAUCUGUCUGCCUUCAUGCACCACCACAUCACAAGUUAAGAGAAAGGAAUGCUAAGAAAACUGGCCUAGAACUCUGGCUCCACCACAUUCUGGAACAAACUGUCCCCAAACCACCUCACCGCAUAAUCUUAAGAAGUCACCUCACUCUCUUGACCACAGGCCUCUCAUUUGUGGAGGUGGAUUUGAAACCAUUUAUCUCAUAAGGUUACCGUGCAGAUUAAAUAAGACAAUGUAGGAAAAACUGUUAGCACAAUAGCAGGUAAAGCUGAAAUAGAUGGUUACUAAGGAGACUAUCAGCUUUAUGACCUGAAGAAAGCAAAAUUUCACCCCUGGAAAAAAGUCUGCUACCUCACAAGCAGACAGCCUUUGAAUGUGAACUGGAACAUCAGCUCUCCUGGGUCUCCAGCCUGUUGGCCCAACCUACAGAUUUCGGACUUGCUAGUCUCUAUAAUCAUGCAAGACCUCCUGCACAGAAGCUGGCAGAAGAGUUGCUUAAACAACAACAGUUCAGUGACUCAUCUGUGUUUUCACAACACGUUUGUACCAGCACCCAUGUCUAUUUGUAGCCUGACAAUAAAGACCCUAUAUGAACCAUC